UGCAAACCUAUACUUCUUGUCUCUUUUAAAAGCCCCCACUCUAUUCAUCUACAGACACAAAACUUGUUUGACUUUCCUGCAUCAGGUUCCUCUUUUCAUAACAUGGCAAUGGAUAUUGUGUCUAAACUGGGUUUUAUCUUCAUGUUUGCUCUCACAGAAUUCUGUUGGUGUCAGACACUGACUGAGUCUGAGUCAGCAGUCAUUAAACCUGGAGGAUCUCACAGACUUACCUGUACAGCCUCUGGAUUUAGCAGUGACCAGGACUUGUCUUGGAUCAGACAGGCAGCAGGAGGAGGUCUGGAGUGGCUGGCAUACAUCUCAUCUGGCAGUACUAUAUACUACUCUCAGUCUGUUCAGGGACGGUUCACCAUCUCCAGAGACAACAGCAAGAAACAGAUGUAUCUGCAGAUGAAUAAUAUGAAGAAUGAAGACACUGCUGUAUAUUAUUGUGCAAGAAAGCCACAGUGA
Non-coding RNA from Megalobrama amblycephala (Wuchang bream), 468 nucleotides. Lineage: Eukaryota; Metazoa; Chordata; Actinopteri; Cypriniformes; Xenocyprididae. The record is from the annotation of a RefSeq genome assembly.